CAAUGUGUAAACACAUGUAUAUGCAUAAGUUGCAUAAGUUGCACAAAUCACAACGUCGUGUGGACAUGAAAUCGAAUGUAAACCCUGGAAUUCCCCGACCUUACUUGAGAAUUGCACAAGAAAUCUUCUUCGGUUUUCAAUAGCCAGAUAAGUAUUAGCCAGAGAAACAGUGUUCUUGCGGUCAGAAAAUUUGGUGCCAUGGACCUGUUCGCAGAAAUUAAUUGGGAUGUAUGGGGCCCCGUCACCGCCUGUAUCAUCUCAGCGGUGAUCAUUGCUGUCGUGGUGAUAUACUGCUGCUGUUGUAGAGAAAAGAAAGCAGUAAUUGUACGAUCCGACAACACCUGUUCUACACCUGACAGUGUAUAUGUACAUCGACUCCCAAAAGAAUUACAUGUUUAUACAGUCGGUGACAAAUUUAUGAACAAGCAUGUUGCGAUGACUUGGGAAAUGCCGUCGAAGAACAGAAAGCAAUUCGCGUACACGAAAGCCAACGGAACGUACACCCGUCUACCAGAUGAAUAUUCCAUAAUACUAGUUGAUGAUCUGGAACAAUUCCGUAACCAAAUUGUUGCUGAGGCAAGACGAAACGCUUUUGGGCAAAGUCCGUUUAUCACGAAUAGAGCAUUUAAAGUUGUACACUUCGUUUUGAAUGGCGAUCGUUUCAAUUUUGACGAAGAAGGUCAAGCAAGACUUGUAUUGCAAUGCAAUGAGUAUGAUGAGAUUUGCCACCUUGAUGGUGUUGAGUUUUUGUACUGAGUGUAUAAACACGCUCAUUUGGUGACAAUUCGGACCAGAACCAUAGAAAUGGACAUUGAAUCUCCCAAUUGCUGCUGUCACUGAAUUGUAAUUUUUAAAUUGGAAUCGUCAUUUUCGGUUUGGCUUAUUAUUGUACAUGUGCAUCAUGUCAAAGCCGAUAUAGCUUUGAACUCAUUCUCCUGUGUGUCUGUGUAAUAACUGAAAUUGUAAUUUACGCUUAUCCGCCAUUACUGUAAUAGUCUGUGUAUUGUACAUGUUCAUAACCGUGUAAUAGCAAAAUACAAAUGUACAUUGUAACUUACACUUAUCUUCACCGACUGGUAAUGGUCUCGGUAUUGUAUAUAUAUGUGUAAUUACAAAAUACAUUGUAAUUUACACUUAUCUUCACCGACUGGUAAUGGUCUCGGUAUUGUACAUAUCCGUGUGAUAAUAAGAUUUUAAUUCACACUUACCUUCACCGACUGGUAAUGGUAUCUGUAUUGUAUAUAUCUGUUUUAUUUUUUGUCAUUGGAAUUCAGUGUGUGAGACUCCAUAAAAUCCAUUUGUAGGGCCCAUACUAUCAUGUAUGUACGAGACAAGGAUUCGUCGAAUCUGUCCCA
Molecule: long non-coding RNA, 1355 nt
Organism: Lineus longissimus
Lineage: Eukaryota; Metazoa; Nemertea; Pilidiophora; Heteronemertea; Lineidae
Exons: 3
Source: RefSeq, a predicted model, not a curated record